Molecule: long non-coding RNA, 919 nt
Organism: Dermacentor andersoni
Lineage: Eukaryota; Metazoa; Arthropoda; Arachnida; Ixodida; Ixodidae
Source: RefSeq, a predicted model, not a curated record
CGAGAGGGUGACGCCUGAUUCUCUGCAACACGGGUCCCUUCAAGCUGUCGCGUUAAUUUCGCGCAGGAGGCUCUUCAGCUGGCUGGCUGGUGUGCGUCUGUUUGUUGCGGCCUCUUCUGCGUUUUUGUGAAGUUCAUCUGGUACUCAAGCCAGAAUCCCACGUCGGAAGGCGCGGAGCUGUUUGUGGCGUUCUUCGACAGGAUACUGUGGUCUUUCAGGCUCACCUGGGUCAUACUGAUGUGUGCUACUGGCCGAGGUGGUAAGGUUGCCCUGGUGCCUAUUUGUUAUGUGUUAGAAAAACUAGCGCCAGCCGGAAACUCUAUGGUGAUUGCAAGUGCUGCGUAGAUGCGAUCUUUUUUGAAAGGCAGCGGCAUUUUGGGUUCGUACUUUGUGCACAUGACCGAAGCUGAAACAAAGCCUGCUUCUCUUUAGGAACCUUGAACACCUUCUUGUCCUGGAAAGCAUUUGUCCCAUUGAGCAGGCUUUCGUACGGCAUCUACCUGAUUCACUGGCCGUUUCUCCAACUUAUGCUGCACUCAUCGAGAGAACGAGUCUACUGGUCGGCAUUUAAUCAGAUGACGCUCUUCUUUGCCGUAUUCGUCUGGAGUAUCCUGCUGUCAUUCGUGGUCUUCAUCACAUGCGAGGCGCCGACCGGAGUGCUCGAGAAGCUGUUUUUCAGGAGGUGGAUUGAAGAUGGCGGGUCCCGGAAGCAAGAACAUCAAGAAUAACUUGGAGGUGGUGACGUGAAAGAAAGAACACUAGUGGAGUAGGCGAUGAUAUUUCACUAUGCUAUCCAACCAGUGGCUACCGGCCUUCUCAUGCUAAGUGCACCGGUACUUGUUAGACCAACAAAGCAAAGCAGCAUUGGGCUUGGUCACGAUGUGUAAGCAUAAUAUUGCUGUAUCAACAGAAAUAAAUG